GCUGGGCGUGGUGGCUCAUGCCUGUAAUCCCAGCAUUUUGGGAGGCCGAGGUGGGUGGAUCACCUGAGGUCGGGAGUUCGAGACCAGCCUGACCAACAUGGAGACACCCCAUCUCUA
This is a non-coding RNA of Nomascus leucogenys (northern white-cheeked gibbon), 117 nucleotides long. It matches the Rfam family "Metazoan signal recognition particle RNA". Rfam says of the family: The signal recognition particle (SRP) is a universally conserved ribonucleoprotein. It is involved in the co-translational targeting of proteins to membranes. The eukaryotic SRP consists of a 300-nucleotide 7S RNA and six proteins: SRPs 72, 68, 54, 19, 14, and 9. The record is from Rfam. NCBI's taxonomy places the organism in Eukaryota, Metazoa, Chordata, Mammalia, Primates, Hylobatidae.